UCCAUUGAAAUUUUGAAAUGCAUUGACCUC
RNAcentral lists this non-coding RNA (30 nucleotides) under Mus musculus (house mouse). The record is from RNAcentral. Lineage: Eukaryota; Metazoa; Chordata; Mammalia; Rodentia; Muridae.